GUAUUUUUUAAAAAAAUCUGAACUUCAAAACACGCAAAAGUGCAAUCUUUGAUUACUGUAUCUUAAAUUUCCCACCAACACACAAUCAACAAUGUUUCGACUCCUUCAAAUCAACAAGAAGUAUGUUUCUUUUCAAUCAGAACUUCAAAAGAACAAUCUUUGAUUACAGUAGCUUAACUUUCCCCACCAACACACAACCAACAAUGUUCGACUCCUUCAAAUCCACAAGA
This 230-nucleotide unclassified non-coding RNA is filed under the name Hevea brasiliensis (rubber tree). Lineage: Eukaryota; Viridiplantae; Streptophyta; Magnoliopsida; Malpighiales; Euphorbiaceae. The record is from RNAcentral.